CACAUGACAACAUGGACAAGUAGCGUCCCCUCAUCCUUGAAAACUGUGAACAAAACUAUGGAAGGUCCUCUGUUGCUUUGACGGAUUGGCGAGGGUGAAGCCAUCAUGUCUCUGGACACAAAUGGAGGUUUUGCAAGCAGGACAAUGCUCCAUGCCACACAGCCAGGUCAAUCAAGGUGUGGAUGGAGGACCACCAGAUCAAGACCCUGUCGUGGCCAGCCCAAUCUCCAGACCUGAACCUUAUUGAAAACCUCUGGAAUGUGAUCAAGAGGAAAAUGUAUGACCACAAGCCAUCAAUCAAAGCUGUUUGAUUUUUUACACCAGGAGUGGCAUAAAUUCACCCAACAGCAAUGUGAGAGACUGGUAGAGAGCAUGCCAAGAUGCAUGAAAGCUGUGAUUGAAAAUCAGGGUUAUUCCAUCAAAUAUAUAUUUCUGAACUCUUCCUAAGUUAAAACAGUAGUAUUGUGUUGUUUAAAAAUGAAUAUGAACUUGUUUUCUUUGCAUUAUUCGAGGUCUGAAAACUCUACUCAUCUACACAUCUUUUUUGUUAUUUUGACCAGUUGUCAUUUUCUGCAAAUAAAUGCUCUAAAUGUCAAUAUUUUUAUUUGGAAUUUGGGAGAAAUGUUGUCAGUACUUUAUAGAAUAAAACAAAAAUGUUCAUUUUACUUAAUCACAUACCUAUAAAUAGUAAAUCCACAGAAACUGAUAAUUUUGCAGUGGUCUCAAAUUUUUUUAGAGCUAUAUAUAUAUAUAAUUAUUCUAAGGGGUUUCAAUGGAUUCUGAUUAAUUAAGAAAGACUCAAAAAGUGAUGGUCUAAGAAAAAUAGUAUAGCAUAGAAACAUUCUAGUUAAUGUUUCAGUUACGUUACAUUAAUCUGAGUGUCACAUGAACAUUCUAAUAAAAUUAUUGCCAGAGCUCAGAAGAAGAUAAUCAUUACUUGUCACCUCUCCUUUGUUAGCACCUGUCAUAAUAUAUUAAAUGGACCAGCAAAACUGUCAUCACAUUUGUUAGUAACAGGGGACUUGUGGCAAUCCCCUAUCAAGCCCAAACUGUCAUGUUGAAAGGAAACAGUGUGAGGUGUUGGGUGAAAAAAUAUAUAUGUGAAAUCGAAAGAGUGUGUCUAUGAGUGUGUUCGUAGUACAUAUAUGUGUGUGUGCAUGUGUUUGAAAACAUUCCCUUGACAUGAAGUCAUGCCGCAGGAGAGGUGAAUUUAGCUACCCAUAAAUAAUCUGAAGGGCAACAUUUUCCCCAUAAGUGCUAACACAAUGGGACAGACAGAAAAAAACAGAAAGGUUAGGUUGAUAUUUCCUCAUAGAAGAUGGAAGCCACUAGAGAUCUUUCAGUUUUAAGUAUUAACCUACCAACCUUUAGGUUAUUUUGACACUGUUUAUGUAAUGUGUUUAUGACUAAACCUUGUUCAAAGGCUUUUUUGUUAGACAUUUUUGUUUCCUUUAGAAAGACUCUCAAGGUUUUUGUUUUUAGUUUACCAGACUUUGAAAAAUGAUUUUGUGUGAGAAAUAUAUAAGUGUCACAAGCUGUGUGCAAUCUUCAUGCAUUAAUCAUAAUCAUCAUUUAUCAGCAACAAUUUUCAAGCAAUGACAUUGAACAAAAAAUUCAAAAUAACUCUCACCUGCACUUCUCUGAAAUGAAAUCUACAUCAUUUGCCACAUUGUUUGCUAAACAUAUAUGUUCACAUUAAUAACAAUUCACUGGUAUCAUUAUAGUGUGUCACAUAUUCUUAUUGUCCCAAUUUACAUAAGGCGAUUCUCAAACAAUAUUACUUCUCUUACUUAUUAUUCACACUUUUAUAUGAGACCUCUAUCAUCAGAACACAGGCUCUUUACCACCGAUGCCACACAUGUUGAUGUGUGGCAUCGGUGAUCAGACAAAACUGUUUUGCAGACUUUAAAGAAUCCAUAGUGACAUACUGUAUUUCCUUUGAAACAGUAAGUUUGAGCAGGGCAUAUUGAAAGUGUU
Molecule: long non-coding RNA, 1977 nt
Organism: Myxocyprinus asiaticus (Chinese sucker)
Lineage: Eukaryota; Metazoa; Chordata; Actinopteri; Cypriniformes; Catostomidae
Exons: 3
Source: RefSeq, a predicted model, not a curated record